Molecule: ribosomal RNA, 475 nt
Filed under: uncultured bacterium
Lineage: Bacteria
Description: SSU rRNA
Rfam family: Bacterial small subunit ribosomal RNA
Source: RNAcentral
AGGAUUAACGCUGGCGGCGUGCAUGAAACAUGCAAGUCGAGCGCGGCGCGUGGCUUCGGUCACGCGUCUAGCGGCGCACGGGUGAGUAACACGUGAGCAACCUACCUUCGAGUUCGGGAUAGCCCUGGGAAACCAGGAUUAAUACCGGAUGUGGUCACAACGGGACAUCCCGAUGUGAAAAAAGGCGUAAGCCGCUCGAUGACGGGCUCGCGGCCUAUUAGCUUGUUGGUGGGGUAACGGCCUACCAAGGCGACGAUGGGUAGCUGGUCUGAGAGGACGAUCAGCCACACUGGGACUGAGACACGGCCCAGACUCCUACGGGAGGCAGCAGUUAGGAAUUUUCCGCAAUGGGCGAAAGCCUGACGGAGCAACGCCGCGUGUGUGAUGAAGGCCUUCGGGUUGUAAGCACUGUCGGAGGGAAGAAUGAAUGACGGUACCUCCAAGAAAGCCCGGCUAACUACGCGCUAGCAGCCGC